AUGAAAGAAAGAAAAGAUGAAAAGGGUUUGUUUACUUACAAGUUGUCGUUGAAAAUCGUUGUGAAGAAAUUGAGUAAAAUGGAUGAACUAGAAAUGGGUCCAGUAAACGUCCUCCUACCAUGGCUUACUUGCCCCGCCGUUUGGUCCUUUGCUGGCGGCCAUUUCAAAGAUAGAGAGAGUGAAAUGGUUGAAAAAGGUGCAAACUUUUUCUUUUGUAAGCGAAAAGUCAAAAACAAAAAAAGAGAGAAGGUUCUAGAGAAAGAAGAUACACUGUGUUUUGAGUGGUGCGACUAA
Molecule: non-coding RNA, 294 nt
Organism: Vicia faba (fava bean)
Lineage: Eukaryota; Viridiplantae; Streptophyta; Magnoliopsida; Fabales; Fabaceae
Source: the annotation of a GenBank genome assembly